RNAcentral lists this ribosomal RNA (875 nucleotides) under uncultured bacterium. RNAcentral's name for it is "bacterial SSU rRNA". It matches the Rfam family "Bacterial small subunit ribosomal RNA", at positions 8 to 916 of the family's 1533-position model. The record is from RNAcentral.
AGAGUUUGAUCCUGGCUCAGAAUCAACGCUGGCGGCGCGCUUAACACAUGCAAGUCGAACGAGAAAGGGGAGCAAUCCCUGAGUACAGUGGCGUACGGGUGAGUAACACGUGGAUGACCUACCCUCUGGUGGGGAAUAACCCUGGGAAACCGGGGCUAAUACCGCAUAAGUCCGGGAGGAGAAAGGCGCAAGUCGCCGGAGGAGGGGUCCGCGGCCGAUUAGCUUGUUGGUGGGGUAACGGCCUACCAAGGCGAAGAUCGGUAGCCGGCCUGAGAGGGCACACGGCCACACUGGCACUGAAACACGGGCCAGACUCCUACGGGAGGCAGCAGUGGGGAAUCUUGCACAAUGGGGGAAACCCUGAUGCAGCGACGCCGCGUGAGCGAUGAAGCCCUUCGGGGUGUAAAGCUCUUUCGACGGGAACGAUAAUGACGGUACCCGGAGAAGAAGCUGCGGCUAACUACGUGCCAGCAGCCGCGGUAAUACGUAGGCAGCGAGCGUUGUUCGGAGUUACUGGGCGUAAUGAGUAUGUAGGCGGUUGCGCAAGUUUGGUGUGAAAUCUCCCGGCUUAACCGGGAGGGUGCGCCGAAAACUGCGCGGCUAGAGUGCGGGAGAGGAGAGCGGAAUUCCUGGUGUAGCGGUGAAAUGCGUAGAUAUCAGGAGGAACACCGGCGGUGUAGACGGCUCUCUGGACCGCGACUGACGCUGAGAUACGAAAGCGUGGGGAGCAAACAGGAUUAGAUACCCUGGUAGUCCACGCCCUAAACGAUGCAGACUUGGUGUGGGCAGUUCAUUCUGUCCGUGCCGGAGCUAACGCGUUAAGUCUGCCGCCUGGGGAGUACGGCCGCAAGGCUGAAACUCAAAUGAAUUGACGG